RNAcentral lists this ribosomal RNA (625 nucleotides) under Abundisporus pubertatis. RNAcentral's name for it is "eukaryotic LSU rRNA". The stretch from base 224 to 377 matches the Rfam family "5.8S ribosomal RNA". Lineage: Eukaryota; Fungi; Basidiomycota; Agaricomycetes; Polyporales; Polyporaceae. The record is from RNAcentral.
CUUGUUGUGACUGCGGAGGACAUUAUCGAGUCUUGACUGGGUUGUAGCUGGCCUUCCGAGGCAUGUGCACGCCCGGCUCAUCCCACUCUACACCUGUGCACUUACUGUGGGUUUCAGAUGGUGGAGCGUUCCUUUACGGGUUCGUGAAGCUGUCCGAGCCUGCGUUUAUUAUAAACCCUUUAAAGUAACAGAAUGUGUAUUGCGAUGUAACGCAUUUAUAUACAACUUUCAGCAACGGAUCUCUUGGCUCUCGCAUCGAUGAAGAACGCAGCGAAAUGCGAUAAGUAAUGUGAAUUGCAGAAUUCAGUGAAUCAUCGAAUCUUUGAACGCACCUUGCGCUCCUUGGUAUUCCGAGGAGCAUGCCUGUUUGAGUGUCAUGAAAUCAUCAACUUACAAGCCCUUGCGGGUGAGUAAGCUUGGACUUGGAGGUGCUUGUCGGCCCUAGUGGUCGACUCCUCUUAAAUGCAUUAGCUUGAUUCCUUGUGGAUCGGCUCUCGGUGUGAUAAUUGUCUACGCCGCGACCGUGAAGCGUUUAUGGGGGGCUUCUAACCCUCUCUUCCGAAAACGCGCUUUGACCUCUGACCUCCAAUCAGGGAAGAAUACCCGCUGAACUUAAGGCAUUAUA